GGACAGAGAAGAGAGGGCUAGGUUGCAUAGACUCCAGGGCACACUGCAUGCUGGGUGUUUUUAUUUUUAUCUAAAAGUUCACUCUACCCGAGAAGACUCUAGUUGUGAGAUCUAACAAGUAUAAAUAGUCCCUUAUCAUUGACAUUUUGUGAAAAUGGGCAACUCUUCAACUUUGAGAAGGUAUACUUGAGGCCAACAACAAGGAACACAUAAUCUGGUCUCAGGAAACAUUUUGCAUCAUCUGGUAAAGGGAUUUCUGCCUCAUCAGAUUACAGACUACAUGUGAAGCCUUGAAGGAUAGCUCCAAGGAGAUGCGUGAGCACAAGGCAGUGUCCUCACAGUGAGCUAGGAAGAGGCUUGCACUGUCACUGCCAGUCCGUUUGUGCAUCAGAGAAGGCCUAAGCGUAAUUGAGCAGUCAUUGCUGUCUCCUCCAGGGAGAGGAACCAUCCUCCUCACAGAUGGCUGAAGAUCUUAUGAAGCUGAACCUCCCAACAAAUCCUCAUAUUUCGAUACAAAUAAGAAUAUGAUUGUCAAUAUUCAUACAAUGUUUUAAACCUUAUGUAGCAAUUUUGCACAUUCUUAUACUCUUUCAGAAAUAGUGUGGGUUGUGAUGAUAGAUUUGGGUUUGAAUUCUGGUUAACCUGUUGGCUAUGUGAUCCUGGGUGAGUUACGUAACCUCUCAGAACAUAUUUUCUCCUCUAUAAAAUGGUGAUGGUGAUGGUGCUAGGGUCAAAAUGAUACCACCUUAUGGGAUAAGGAUUGGAUGAGAGAAAUACCUAGCUUGACCCAUAAGAGGCACUCCAUUUCCUUCCCUUUUAUAAAGGUGGUUAUUUGCAUCAGUAGACCUCAGAUUUCCACAAUAGUUACAUGUUUAUAUAGGUGAUGUGUUCUCUUCAAACAUGUCUCAUGUUACAUGGUGAAUUUUUUUUUAAGAGAUAGGGUCUCACCCUGUCACCUAGGCUGGAGUGCAGCAGCAUGAUCCUAGCUCACUGCAGCCUUGAACUCCUGGGUUUAAAAUAUCCUGCCGCCUUAGCCUCCUGAGUAGCUGGGACUACAGGUGCAUGCCACCACACUUGGUUAAUUAAAAAAAAUUUUUUUUGUAAGGACAGGGUCUUGUUAUGUUGCCCAGUCUGGUCUUGAACUCCUGGCCUCAAGUGAUCCUCCUGGCUUGGCAUCCCAAAGCACUGGGAUUACAGGCAUAAGCCACCACACCUGGCCUCCCAGUGAUUCUUAACUCAGCAAUGGGGCAUGGAGGCGUUAAUAUCUGUAUUGCUAUAAAGCACCCCUGAGCCUCCAGACUGAGAAUUGUCAGUCUACAGUAUGAUACCCCAAGUAUCUCUCAUGAGUUUGAUAUUUUUGUGAUACCUUAUUCUUCACUCUUAGUAGGUUUAUUUCAAUAAAGUAAGGCUUUGCUUAUAUGGGAGGGCAGUGCAUUAAGCUAAUGCAAAUUAUAGUUGAUAAACUACCUUCUCAUGUAUCGCUGAAUGCCAGGGAGCAUUUUUGUUGGGGGCAGUGCUGGCGGGAGUUUUGAUGGAAGUAAUAGUAGAGAGAUGGAGAGUACACAAGACCUAGAGGAGGGUUGAUUGAACCAUAAGGAAAAACAGAUAAAAGGGAAGGUGAGAGGAAUUGAAGACAAUUAUCAUUUUUCUCAUACAGCCUCAUUUAGCAGGCUGAGACUUGGCUGUUUCGGGAGUACCUGCUGCCUCUCACUAGAAACUGCCAUCUUUAUGCUAUCACCCUGUCUCUCAUCCAGUCUUACCUACCUGAGGUAUAAGACCUGGACUCACCACUUGAGUUAUACAUGGCUACCUGAUCCAUCUCUUCAAAGUCAUAUUAAAUACUAUAAGAUUCUCAGAUUUAAUCUGUCAAAACCUAAAUAGUUCUCCCUAUAAUGAUACACGAAUGGUUACAAAUAAAGUUUGGAAACUGCAAAUUAGAAAACUAGAGAGAAAGGAAGUGGUUCCAGUCUACCAUGAGCAGCUCAUAGGCUAGAUGAACUGAACAUAGCUUUUGGUUUGUUCUAAGGAAAGGAUAUAAGACCAAAGUGUCCAUAAAGUUCUUAUUUAAAGUAACUUUUAGAGUUUGGGGUAAGAGAUCUUUCAAUUGAAACUACUAAGAAUACUUCUUAGGCCAGGCAAUUUGAAUUGAUGAGAUAAGAUAAAGCUGAAGGUCAAAGUUAUGACUUUGAGAAGAGUCAAGGCAAUGCCAUCAUCAAGGGAGCCAAUCUUCCAGUAGACAGGGGCUCCUGGAGUGAGAACUACAGACCUGCUGUUUCCAGGCUGCAAAUUAAUUGCAUUGGCCCAGCAGACACCAUCAGUAAACAAGCCUGCCAGGGAAUAUCUACUUGAUCCUCUUUCACAGAGCAAACUUCCAAGGGCUGCCUGGGUCCCAUCCUUAUUUUGUUAUCAUCUUCAAGUGAGUCCAAGUGCACAGCAAUGAAAAAAAUGCAUGUGUAGACUAAAGAAAAGAGUAACAUAACGGUGCGUUGGACCAUGAAGUGAUAGAUAGCUUCAUGAGGAAAGAAGAAUUUUGGAGGGACCUUGAUUAUGGGCAAAAUUUAAAGAAAGAUGGGAGACAGCAAAUGUAUCCAUACUUCUGGAAUGUUUUAGCUUUUGGCACUUAGGUUUGAGCAUCCCCAGAUGUCUGUGGUGUACCUCAUAAUCUGGUCCUUGCAGUUGGGCUGAUGUGAUAACAUCUGUUAUCUAAGGUAUCUACUGUGUGCUCAUGGACAAGGCAUCUGUUUCUGUGACUCUGUUUAUUUUCAUUGAUGACUCCCAUAUUGAAACUCCUGGGAAUGAUUCCAUGAAAGAUGAAAUAAGCCAAGGUUCGAAGGAGCAAACAGUUCAAACACAUAGUAAUAUAGUGGGAAUUAGAGCAGCCUGAUGGAUGUGUGGAGACUUCACCAGCUGGAAGCAGACUGGGAAUUACAAGUUUCAUCAACAGAACCAAAGCACAUGACAUACGCCACAGGGCAGAAUCCUUAUUAUGUAAUAAUAACCCCUGCACACUUCUCUCCCCCAGUUAACAAUGCACAGAUUGAGGUCAUUGUGUAUUUACAACCUGGAGAUAGCUGACAGCCCAUACUUCACCUUGAAGUUUGACUUGUCUGUUCCCUCAAAUGUGUCGACACUUCUGAAAUGUUUUCUCCUUUGGCACAUCGGUUUGAACAUCCCCAGAUGUCUAUGGUGUACCUCAAAAUCUGGUCCUUGCAGUCGGGGUGAUAUGACACAUCUGUUGUCUAAUGUACCUACUGUGUGCUCACGGACAAAGCCAAAUAAUUAAUCUGGGCCGGGAUUGUUCAUGCUUUCACAGUUCGGUUCGGCAUUGAUCUCUUCUUGCAGAAGGCCUAUAUUGGGACCAAACUGGGAAUGCAACAGGGCAAAGUUGGUCUAAAAAUCCUCUGGGAAUUUUCCAUUUGGCAAUUAAAUUUUCUGUAGAUUACAUCUCUCUAUCAAUUACCAGUGUGGCUUUUAUAAUGUUAUAAAAUCUGAGCAUAGCCAGUUACAUUUCUUUUACCCUGAGUCUCUGGGUCUUUAUCUGAAAAAUUAAAGGACUAGAAAAGAUGACUUUGAGUUUUUUACAGCUCUAAUGUUUGAGAAUUUAAUAAUUUCUCAGUAGUGAAAGUCAGAUUUCUUGACAAUAUAGCAAUUAGUUUGUCCACCUGUAUGUACUCUCCUACAUGUAUCUGCCUGAAGCCCAUUGCUACUGGUAUCUCCCAAGAUGGAAAUGUGCCAAGCUGGUAUAAGCCCAGUGGAAUUUCACUAAGAAACUAGACCCAGCCACUCAGCCCAUACUCACAGUCUUAUCUUUCCUCCCAUUCAUUUACCCAUUCACUCAACAAACAUUUAUUGAAGGCCUGUUAAGUGUUAGGUACUAAUCUUUAGAACCUGCUCUAUGGCUUUUUAGUCCAUCUUCCCUUCACUCACUUUUUUUGACAAACCAGGCAGACAAUGGUGUAGGAAAUGUAUAUUUAAUCAUUCUCUUGAACGAUCAGAACUCUAAAAUCAGUUUUCUAUAACAACAUGUAAUACAGUCACCGUGGCUCCAAGGUCCAGGAAGGCAGUGGUUAACACAUGAAGAGUGUGGGAAGGGGGCUGGAAACAAAGUAUUCUUUUCCUUCAAAGCUUCAUUCCUCAAGGCCUCAAUUCAAGCAGUCAUUGUCCUUGCUUUCAAAAGUCUGUGUGUGCUUCAUGGAAGGUAUAUGUUUGUUGCCUUAAUUUGAAUUGUGGCCAGGCAGGGUCUGGAGAUCUAAAUUCAGAGUAAGAAAACCUGAGCUAGAACUCAGGCAUUUCUCUUACAGAACUUGGCUUGCAGGGUAGAAUGAAGGGAAAGAAACUUAGAAGCUCAACAAGCUGAAGAUAAUCCCAUCAGGCAUUUCCCAUAGGCCUUGUCAACUCUGUUCACUGAGAGAUGUUAUCCUGGUGCCCGAUAGAGUUCUGGCUCUCUGUGCUGAGGCAGCAGCCAAAGAGACAGAAUGCUUAUUUGCCAAUGACUAAUGUGAGGAAGCAGACAGAUUUGUUGGCUCCCCUCUUUCCAGGCCCUUUUCUACUCAAAACCAGGGUUUCUUAGCCCUGACACAGUUGACACUUCGGAUUGGGUAGUUGUAAUGGGGAGACGUCCUGUACAUGGUAGGAGGUUGAGCAGCAUCCCUGGCCUCUAUCCACUAGUUGGUAGUAGCACUGUAUCCUCCUCCACUCCCUCAUUGAGGUAACCAAAAUUGUCUUCAGACAUUCCCCCGGAGAUGGGGGGCGAAAUCACCCCAGCUGAGUCCCACUGCUCUAGAUGCUAUUGAAAACUGAGGUCUUAGCUGUCCACGCAGGAUGGAAAGGAGAAGCCUCAGAGCUUGUGAUGACAUAAUGCCAUAUAGACAAGGUGAAAGGUCCUUCCCUGGACCAUUCACGGAUGAACAUCAUCUGAGAAAUAAACCCGCAUUUGUUUGUUUAAAAAGAAGGUGCU
RNAcentral lists this long non-coding RNA (4957 nucleotides) under Homo sapiens (human). RNAcentral's name for it is "HSALNT0013351". Lineage: Eukaryota; Metazoa; Chordata; Mammalia; Primates; Hominidae. The record is from RNAcentral.